Long non-coding RNA from Oncorhynchus tshawytscha (Chinook salmon), 614 nucleotides. RefSeq lists it as uncharacterized. The record is from RefSeq and is a predicted model, not a curated record. The transcript is spliced from 4 exons. Lineage: Eukaryota; Metazoa; Chordata; Actinopteri; Salmoniformes; Salmonidae.
GUAGCCUGUUUUGUCAUUGUGGGUUGUGGGUGAUUGUCUAUGUUAUGUUGCUUGUUAGCACAGUGUUUCAUUAGUGCCACGGUUGUCACGUUGGUUUGUUUUUUCGAACACUUACCACGCCGCAUCUGGGUCCGAUCCUUACUCCUCUUCAGACGAAGAGGAGGACAUCUGCCGUGACACGCCUUUGAAAUGACUGGCAUUUGGGGGAGCAAGAAAUGCAAACUUAAAUUUGGUUGGAUUAUUCUCAUAAUAUGAUAAUAUUAUAUGUUAAUUUUGACAGAUUUUGAUAUCAAGCAACUGUAUCCUUGCUCUUUUAAAUGUCAGAUUGAUCCAAUGAUGUACAAGUACAUCAUCAAUGAACACAACCACUGGACUGUGACGGUUGUGCUGCCAUCUCAAGAGGGCUCUGUUUCUCGACCCAAUGGGGGAAAGGGCCAGAAAGAUACAAAGAUGCCAGGAGUUGACAAGAUCAUUCCUGAGAGAGAAGGGGUGUAAUAUCUCCAGAUGGGCGUGUGGUACCCUUCCUCACCCAUGCCAACAAGAUGUUACUUCUUGUGGGGUCUCUGCCUUGAAAACAAUGACCCAACACACCUCCAGGCUGUGUAAGGACUAUU